Molecule: ribosomal RNA, 254 nt
Filed under: uncultured bacterium
Lineage: Bacteria
Description: partial 16S ribosomal RNA
Rfam family: Bacterial small subunit ribosomal RNA
Source: RNAcentral
UACGUAGGGUGCAAGCGUUUGUCCGGAAUUAUUGGGCGUAAGAGCUCGUAGGCGGUCUGUUGCGUCGGCUGUGGAAAACCCGGGGCUCAACCCCGGGCCUGCAGCCGAUACGGGCAGACUAGAGUUCGGCAGGGGAGACUGGAAUUCCUGGUGUAGCGGUGAAAUGCGCAGAUAUCAGGAGGAACACCGGUGGCGAAGGCGGGUCUCUGGGCCGAUACUGACGCUGAGGAGCGAAAGCGUGGGGAGCGAACAGG